This 471-nucleotide ribosomal RNA is filed under the name uncultured bacterium. Its description in RNAcentral is "partial 16S ribosomal RNA". It matches the Rfam family "Bacterial small subunit ribosomal RNA", at positions 28 to 505 of the family's 1533-position model. The record is from RNAcentral.
GAUGAACGCUAGCGGCAGGCCUAAUACAUGCAAGUCGAACGGGUGGUCGCAAGACCACUAGUGGCGCACGGGUGCGUAACGCGUAACCAACCUGCCCCGAUCUGGGGGAUAGCCCGCCGAAAGGCGGAUUAAUACCGCAUAUACCCGCAGCCUGGCAUCAGGCAACGGGGAAAGAUUUAUUGGAUCGGGAUGGGGUUGCGUGACAUUAGCUAGUUGGCGGGGUAAGGGCCCACCAAGGCGACGAUGUCUAGGGGACCUGAGAGGGUGAUCCCCCACACUGGCACUGAGAUACGGGCCAGACUCCUACGGGAGGCAGCAGUAGGGAAUAUUGGGCAAUGGGCGAGAGCCUGACCCAGCCAUGCCGCGUGCCGGAUGAAGGCCUUCUGGGUUGUAAACGGCUUUUCUCAGGGAAGAAAAAGACCUUGCGAGGUACACUGACGGUACCUGAGGAAUAAGCACCGGCUAACUCCG